GCCGAAGUGGCGGAACUGGCAGACGCGCAGCGUUGAGGGCGCUGUGGGCCUUGGCCUGUGAGGGUUCGAAUCCCUCCUUCGGCA
Molecule: non-coding RNA, 84 nt
Organism: Halanaerobium saccharolyticum subsp. saccharolyticum DSM 6643
Lineage: Bacteria; Bacillati; Bacillota; Clostridia; Halanaerobiales; Halanaerobiaceae
Source: Rfam